This 422-nucleotide ribosomal RNA is filed under the name uncultured bacterium. Its description in RNAcentral is "bacterial SSU rRNA". It matches the Rfam family "Bacterial small subunit ribosomal RNA", at positions 362 to 774 of the family's 1533-position model. The record is from RNAcentral.
UAUUGCACAAUGGGCGCAAGCCUGAUGCAGCAAUGCCGCGUGAGUGAAGAAGGCCCUCGGGUCGUAAAGCUCUUUCGAUAAAGAAGAAGGGCGUAUACGUGAACAAUGUAUAUGUCUGACGGUACCUCCAAAAGAAGGACCGGCCAACUACGUGCCAGCAGCCGCGGUAAUACGUAGGGUCCGAGCGUUAUCCGGAAUCAUUGGGCGUAAAGAGCUCGUAGGCGGUUCAGCAAGUCGGCUGUGAAAGUCUGAGGCUCAACCUCAGAAUAGCAGUCGAUACUGCUGUGACUCGAGUCCGGUAGAGGAGAAUGGAAUUCUCGGUGUAGCGGUGAAAUGCGCAGAUAUCGAGAGGAACACCAGUAGCGAAGGCGGUUCUCUGGGCCGGCACUGACGCUGAGGAGCGAAAGCGUGGGGAGCAAACA